GAAAAAAAACCUCUGACAUUUUCCCCUUGCUAUUCCAAUUGCUAAGCCAAGGGGACUUGCUGCCUACAAAUAAAGGUUCCUUUAAAAACAUUCCGUUAACCAAAAGCCGUAUGAUUGUUUGAGGAGGCACACAUCCAUUAAAAUGAAUAUGUCGGGGAGAUGCCAAUCAGAAGACGGCUGAAGAAUUAUUGCUAAAUGGAGACAGGCAAGGUUGUGUGGCGAAGAUGCUGUUUGAGGCGGUCUUGGAGGAGGGCCAACCACUUGCAGAGUAAGGAUGAGCUGGAGCUCCUGGGGGCCCAGUCACCAUCUAAGAAGCCUGAAGAUGUUUCCAUUGCCAUCUCAUUAUCAGUUCCUUUCAGAACAACUGAAAGAAAGAAAAGACAGAUUUAUUCGCCGAAGCGAUGGAGAAGGAUAUUAGGACAAACGUCUAUGUGGAAAAAACAAUCCAACGUACGCAUUUCUUGGGUGAAAAGAUACACAGCGUUUUCAGAGGCUUUUCCCCCGCUCAUCUUAAUGAAGCUCUCAACAAACACAUCUGCAUGUUUCAUUAUAAUCGAGUGA
This 561-nucleotide long non-coding RNA is filed under the name Sus scrofa (pig). RNAcentral describes it as "lncRNA (ENSSSCG00055001073.1)". Lineage: Eukaryota; Metazoa; Chordata; Mammalia; Artiodactyla; Suidae. The record is from RNAcentral.